GAUGAACGCUGGCGGCGUGCCUAAUACAUGCAAGUCGAGCGAACAGACGAGGAGCUUGCUCCUCUGACGUUAGCGGCGGACGGGUGAGUAACACGUGGAUAACCUACCUAUAAGACUGGGAUAACUUCGGGAAACCGGAGCUAAUACCGGAUAAUAUAUUGAACCGCAUGGUUCAAUAGUGAAAGACGGUUUUGGUGUCACUUCUAGCUGGAUCCGCGCCGCAUUAGCUAGUUGGGAAGGUAACGGCCUACCAAGGCAACGAUGCGUAGCCGACCUGAGAGGGUGAUCGGCCACACUGGAACUGAGACACGCUCCAGACUCCUACGGGAGGCAGCAGUAGGGAAUCUUACGCAAUGGGCGAAAGCUUGACGCAGCAACGCCGCGUGAGUGAUGAAGGUCUUCGGAUCGUAAAACUCUGUUAUUAGGGAAGAACAAAUGUGUAAGUAACUAUGCACGUCUUGACGGUACCUAAUCAGAAAGCCACGGCUAACUACGUG
RNAcentral lists this ribosomal RNA (497 nucleotides) under uncultured bacterium. RNAcentral's name for it is "partial 16S ribosomal RNA". It matches the Rfam family "Bacterial small subunit ribosomal RNA", at positions 28 to 507 of the family's 1533-position model. The record is from RNAcentral.